Molecule: ribosomal RNA, 477 nt
Filed under: uncultured soil bacterium
Lineage: Bacteria
Description: bacterial SSU rRNA
Rfam family: Bacterial small subunit ribosomal RNA
Source: RNAcentral
AGGACGAACGCUGGCGGCGUGCUUAACACAUGCAAGUCGAGCGGUAAGGCCCUUUCGGGGGUACACGAGCGGCGAACGGGUGAGUAACACGUGAGCAAUCUGCCCUUCACUUCGGGAUAAGCCUCGGAAACGGGGUCUAAUACCGGAUAUGACCGCGCCAUGCAUGUGGUGUGGUGGAAAGUUCUGGCGGUGGAGGAUGAGCUCGCGGCCUAUCAGCUUGUUGGUGGGGUAAUGGCCUACCAAGGCUUCGACGGGUAGCCGGCCUGAGAGGGUGACCGGCCACACUGGGACUGAGACACGGCCCAGACUCCUACGGGAGGCAGCAGUGGGGAAUAUUGGACAAUGGGACGAAAGCCUGAUCCAGCACCGCCGCGUGAGGAUGACGGCCUUCGGGUGUAACCUCUUCAGCGCCGACGAAGCGAGAGUGACGGUAGGCGCAGAAGAAGCACCGGCCAACUACGUGACCAGCAGCCCGAC